Scaptodrosophila lebanonensis is the source of this 341-nucleotide long non-coding RNA. RefSeq lists it as uncharacterized. Lineage: Eukaryota; Metazoa; Arthropoda; Insecta; Diptera; Drosophilidae. The record is from RefSeq and is a predicted model, not a curated record. The transcript has 3 exons.
UUGCAGGUAAUGAAGGGGCCCGUGAUGGGUGUAUGCACACACGACUAUGCAGCAGAGCACACUUCAGAAUUGGAAAUCAGCACACGGACCGACUACAAAAUGGCGAGAACGUGCUGGGGCGAGCGGAGACUUGCACGCAAAACGAUGGAGCAAAUGUUGUAGUAGGGCGCCGCAAUGGGUUUGAAGAUGCUGAAAACUCCACAGUUCACUUUGAGGUUUUUUGAGAGUGCCAAGGCGAAAUUUAAUAAAGGUUAAGGAACGAAGCAGCGGUUGUCAGAUCACAGCUGACGACGGCAGCGCUCUCUCGCGUCGCCGACGUCGACGCAGGCAGCGAUAACAGC